This 269-nucleotide ribosomal RNA is filed under the name uncultured prokaryote. Its description in RNAcentral is "partial 16S ribosomal RNA". It matches the Rfam family "Bacterial small subunit ribosomal RNA", at positions 524 to 792 of the family's 1533-position model. The record is from RNAcentral.
UACGAAGGGAGCUAGCGUUGCUCGGAAUUACUGGGCAUAAAGGGCGUCUAGGCGGGUCUGCAAGUCGGGUGUGAAAUCCCUCGGCUCAACCGAGGAACUGCGCCCGAAACGGCAGAUCUUGAGCGCAGAAGGGGAGAGUGGAACUCCUGGUGGAGUGGUGAAAUGCUUUGAUAUCAGGAGGAACGCCGGUGGCGAAAGCGACUCUCUGGACUGCUGCUGACGCUGAAGCGCGAAAGCCAGGGGAGCGAACGGGAUUAGAUACCCCCGUA